UAGGGAAUCUUCCGCAAUGGGCGAAAGCCUGACGGAGCAACGCCGCGUGAGUGAUGAAGGUCUUCGGAUCGUAAAACUCUGUUAUUAGGGAAGAACAAAUGUGUAAGUAACUCUGCACGUCUUGACGGUACCUAAUCAGAAAGCCACGGCUAACUACGUGCCAGCAGCCGCGGUAAUACGUAGGUGGCAAGCGUUAUCCGGAAUUAUUGGGCGUAAAGCGCGCGUAGGCGGUUUUUUAAGUCUGAUGUGAAAGCCCACGGCUCAACCGUGGAGGGUCAUUGGAAACUGGAAAACUUGAGUGCAGAAGAGGAAAGUGGAAUUCCAUGUGUAGCGGUGAAAUGCGCAGAGAUAUGGAGGAACACCAGUGGCGAAGGCGACUUUCUGGUCUGUAACUGACGCUGAUGUGCGAAAGCGUGGGAAUCAAACAGG
RNAcentral lists this ribosomal RNA (429 nucleotides) under Bacteroidota bacterium. RNAcentral describes it as "Bacteroidetes bacterium partial 16S ribosomal RNA". It matches the Rfam family "Bacterial small subunit ribosomal RNA", at positions 355 to 776 of the family's 1533-position model. The record is from RNAcentral. Lineage: Bacteria; Pseudomonadati; Bacteroidota.